UGGGAGCUGAGGGACUGCUGGACUUGCUGAGAGACUUGCUGGACUUGGUGGAUUUGCUGAGGGACUGCUGGACUUGGUGGAUUUGCUGAGGGACUGCUGGACUUGCUGAGGGACUGCUGGACUUUCUUGACUUGCUGAGGGACUUUCUUGACUUGCUGAGGGACUGUUGGACUUGCUGAGGGACUUGCUGGACUUGCUGAGAGACUUGCUGGACUUGGUGGACUUGCUGAGGGACUGCUGGACUUUCUUGACUUGCUGAGGGACUUUCUUGACUUGCUGAGGGACUGUUGGACUUGCUGAGGGACUUGCUGGACUUGCUGAGAGACUUGCUGGACUUGGUGGAUUUGCUGAGGGACUGCUGGACUUGGUGGAUUUGCUGAGGGACUGCUGGACUUGCUGAGGGACUGCUGGACUUUCUUGACUUGCUGAGGGACUUUCUUGACUUGCUGAGGGACUGUUGGACUUGCUGAGGGACUUGCUGGACUUGCUGAGGGACUGCUGGACUUGGUGGACUUGCUGAGGGGAAAAUGUCCUGACUCUGCUUUGGUGUUUCUGCCUUACCUGGAACCACAUUCACUCCUACACCGAACAUUCCUUCAGGUUUGGACCGAAGGCCGUCUGCCGAGUCUGCGGAUUAUUGCUGUAAAUAGAAUUUUACUGAAUGAGACGAGUCUUUGUUCCUCCCGCGCAAGCAGUUCUGUUCUUGUGUGCGACCAGUAACCUUAAUUUACUGUGUAAAGAUGGUUACAUAUUCUAGCUUGUUUGUUCCAGACCCAGAUAUAAAUGCUUGUUUACUUUCUGUAUAUCCUUAAACGUGAACUUCCAGUUAAGUGUAUUAUACAAACUCUUUUCUUCCUGUAACGAUGUCUUGUACAAUGCUUUUAAAGUUAUUGCUCGCUUUAAAAAAGAAAAGACAAAAAAGAAAUAGGGACAGAAGGAAAAUCCAUCCUGGUUUGGUCCAGUUUGAUUAUUUUCUUUUGUUUUGACUCCUGGCUGAUGUGUUUCCUCUUGUGAAAUGGUCACAUUAUGUUCCUGAUGUGGAAAUGCAGCAUUUUCAGCAGCUCCUUGUCUAGAUGAAGAUGUUAACUACAUGUUUCUGGCAUGUGCACGGCUUCUAGGCUAACCCAUCAUCCUCCCUCUGCUGCAGAUACAAAUGUCUAUGAAUUUUGCUUGUAGUUUUUCACAAAUAAAACUGUCAAAGUUCCA
Molecule: long non-coding RNA, 1206 nt
Organism: Melanotaenia boesemani (Boeseman's rainbowfish)
Lineage: Eukaryota; Metazoa; Chordata; Actinopteri; Atheriniformes; Melanotaeniidae
Exons: 2
Source: RefSeq, a predicted model, not a curated record